Molecule: ribosomal RNA, 253 nt
Filed under: uncultured bacterium
Lineage: Bacteria
Description: partial 16S ribosomal RNA
Rfam family: Bacterial small subunit ribosomal RNA
Source: RNAcentral
UACGUAGGGUGCAAGCGUUAAUCGGAAUUACUGGGCGUAAAGAGUGUGUAGGCGGUGCUCUAAGUUCGGUGUGAAAUCUCCUGGCUCAACUGGGAGGGUGCGCCGGAAACUGGAGUGCUUGAGCGUGGGAGAGGAAAGCGGAAUUCCUGGUGUAGCGGUGAAAUGCGUAGAUAUCAGGAGGAACACCUGUGGUGUAGACGGCUUUCUGGACCAUAGCUGACGCUGAGACACGAAAGCGUGGGUAGCAAACAGG